GACUAUGGCCAUGCCACUCUGAGCAAGCCCAAUGUCUGAUCUCAUGAAGCUAAGCAGGGGCGAGCCUGGGGGUUAGUACUUGGAUGGGAGACCACCUAGAAAUACCAGAUGCUGUAGGCA
This 120-nucleotide ribosomal RNA is filed under the name Pteropus alecto (black flying fox). Lineage: Eukaryota; Metazoa; Chordata; Mammalia; Chiroptera; Pteropodidae. The record is from RNAcentral.